CAAGGUGUUAAAUCGUCAGGAUGAGAACCGUAGAGGUUCGAGUCUCGCGAAGCGAGACAACAUCACUCCGGUGGUGGCCCGAAGGGCGAGUUAUCCUACACGACCCACCA
Molecule: small RNA, 110 nt
Filed under: Serratia marcescens
Lineage: Bacteria; Pseudomonadati; Pseudomonadota; Gammaproteobacteria; Enterobacterales; Yersiniaceae
Description: RtT sRNA
Rfam family: RtT RNA
About the family: This family represents a bacterial cis-regulatory element known as RtT RNA. The exact function of RtT is unknown although it is thought that it may be involved in changing the cellular response in relation to amino acid starvation.
Source: RNAcentral